GCGAAAAGCCUGACGCAGCAACGCCGCGUGGGUGAUGGAGGCCUUCGGGUUGUAAAGCCCCUGUCGGGUGGAACGAACAGGUCCUGAGGAGGGACUCUGACGGUACCAUCGGAGGAAGCACCGGCUAACUUCGUGCCAGCAGCCGCGGUAAUACGAAGGGUGCAAGCGUUGCUCGGAAUUAUUGGGCGUAAAGCGUACGCAGGCGGUCUACCAAGUCGGGCGUGAAAGUCCGGGGCUCAACUCCGGGAAGUCGCACGAAACUAGCAGACUUGAGUUCGGGAGAGGGGUGUGGAAUUCCCAGUGUAGAAGUGAAAUUCGUAGAUAUUGGGAGGAACACCGGUGGCGAAGGCGACACCCUGGCCCGAAACUGACGCUCAUGUACGAAAGCGUGGGUAGCAAAACAGGAUUAGAUACCCUGUAGUCCACGCCGUAAACGAUGGGUGCCAGAUGUUGCGGGUAUUAUUCCUGCAGCGUCGUAGCUAACGCAUUAAGCACCCGCCUGGGGAGUACGGCCGCAAGGU
Molecule: ribosomal RNA, 521 nt
Filed under: uncultured bacterium
Lineage: Bacteria
Description: bacterial SSU rRNA
Rfam family: Bacterial small subunit ribosomal RNA
Source: RNAcentral